CCUACGUGCGGCUGCAGUGGGGAAUAUUGCACAAUGGGCGCAAGCCUGAUGCAGCCAUGCCGCGUGUGUGAAGAAGGCCUUCGGGUUGUAAAGCACUUUCAGCGGGGAGGAAGGCGGUGAGGUUAAUAACCUCAUCGAUUGACGUUACCCGCAGAAGAAGCACCGGCUAACUCCGUGCCAGCAGCCGCGGUAAUACGGAGGGUGCAAGCGUUAAUCGGAAUUACUGGGCGUAAAGCGCACGCAGGCGGUCUGUCAAGUCGGAUGUGAAAUCCCCGGGCUCAACCUGGGAACUGCAUUCGAAACUGGCAGGCUAGAGUCUUGUAGAGGGGGGUAGAAUUCCAGGUGUAGCGGUGAAAGGCGUAGAGAUCUGGAGGAAUACCGGUGGCGAAGGCGGCCCCCUGGACAAAGACUGACGCUCAGGUGCGAAAGCGUGGGGAGCAAACAGGAUUAGAUACCCUUGUAGUC
RNAcentral lists this ribosomal RNA (465 nucleotides) under uncultured Klebsiella sp. RNAcentral describes it as "bacterial SSU rRNA". It matches the Rfam family "Bacterial small subunit ribosomal RNA", at positions 338 to 795 of the family's 1533-position model. The record is from RNAcentral. Lineage: Bacteria; Pseudomonadati; Pseudomonadota; Gammaproteobacteria; Enterobacterales; Enterobacteriaceae.